Molecule: transfer RNA, 64 nt
Filed under: Coleoptera sp. ACP-2013
Lineage: Eukaryota; Metazoa; Arthropoda; Insecta; Coleoptera
Description: tRNA-Leu
Rfam family: tRNA
About the family: Transfer RNA (tRNA) molecules are approximately 80 nucleotides in length.
Source: RNAcentral
CUAAAGUGGCAGAAUAGUGCAUUGAACUUAAACUUCAAAUAUAAAGAUUUUCUUUCUUUAGAAA